GAUGAACGCUGGCGGCGUGCCUAAUACAUGCAAGUCGAACGAAACUUCUUUAUCACCGAGUGCUUGCACUCACCGAUAAAGAGUUGAGUGGCGAACGGGUGAGUAACACGUGGGCAACCUGCCCAAAAGAGGGGGAUAACACUUGGAAACAGGUGCUAAUACCGCAUAACCAUAGUUACCGCAUGGUAACUAUGUAAAAGGUGGCUAUACUACCGCUUUUGGAUGGGCCCGCGGCGCAUUAGCUAGUUGGUAGGGUAAAGGCUUACCAAGGCAAUGAUGCGUAGCCGAAUUGAGAGGUUGAUCGGCCACAUUGGGACUGAGACACGGCCCAAACUCCUACGGAAGGCGGCAGUAGGGAAUCUUCCACAAUGGGCGAAAGCCUGAUGGAGCAACGCCGCGUGGGUGAAGAAGGUCUUCGGAUCGUAAAACCCUGUUGUUAGAGAAGAAAGUGCGUGAGAGUAACUGUUCACGUUUCGACGGUAUCUAACCAGAAAGCCACGGCUAACUACGUG
This 512-nucleotide ribosomal RNA is filed under the name uncultured bacterium. Its description in RNAcentral is "partial 16S ribosomal RNA". It matches the Rfam family "Bacterial small subunit ribosomal RNA", at positions 28 to 507 of the family's 1533-position model. The record is from RNAcentral.